RNAcentral lists this ribosomal RNA (481 nucleotides) under Magnusiomyces capitatus. RNAcentral's name for it is "eukaryotic LSU rRNA". The stretch from base 154 to 292 matches the Rfam family "5.8S ribosomal RNA". The record is from RNAcentral. Lineage: Eukaryota; Fungi; Ascomycota; Dipodascomycetes; Dipodascales; Dipodascaceae.
UUGGAAGUAAAAGUCGUAACAAGGUUUCCGUAGGUGAACCUGCGGAAGGAUCAUUCACAAGAUUAUAUUUUAUAUUACUUUGUGGAACAUUUGGUUGAAUUUACAUGUUUUAUUACAAAAAAUUAAUUAUAAUUAAAAAAAUAAUUUUAAGAAAACCUCCAACAACGGAUCUCUUGGUUCCCAGAUCGAUGAAGAGCGCAGCGAAUUGCGAAAUGUGAUGUGUAUUGCAGUGAAUCAUCAAUUCUUGAACGCACAUGGCACCCCUUUUAGGGGUAUGCUUGUAUGAGGGUGUUUAAUAUGAAAUUGCUUUGGCUUUUUUUAAAUAAAUGGUUUUUCAAAUUGUUACUAAUAGACGAAAGAAUCAGUGCAACAAGCUGUGUUGAAUCUUUCAUUAAAUCUUUUAGUUAACUACUUUAACUAUUUGCACCUCAUAUCAAGCAAGACUACCCGCUGAACUUAAGCAUAUCACUAAGCGGACGAA